UUUUUCCUCCUUUAUUCAGCAGUGAGGAAUAUUGGUCAAUGGUCGGGAGACUGAACCAGCCACGCCGCGUGAGGGAGGAAGGUACAGAGUAUCGUAAACCUCUUUUGUCAGGGAACAAAGACUGGGACGCGUCCCCGGAUGAGUGUACCUGAAGAAAAAGCAUCGGCUAACUCCGUGCCAGCAGCCGCGGUAAUACGGAGGAUGCGAGCGUUAUCCGGAUUUAUUGGGUUUAAAGGGUGCGCAGGCGGUCUGUUAAGUCAGCGGUCAAAGCCCGGGGCUCAACCCCGGCCCGCCGUUGAAACUGG
Molecule: ribosomal RNA, 305 nt
Filed under: uncultured bacterium
Lineage: Bacteria
Description: bacterial SSU rRNA
Rfam family: Bacterial small subunit ribosomal RNA
Source: RNAcentral